RNAcentral lists this ribosomal RNA (3888 nucleotides) under Triticum aestivum (bread wheat). Its description in RNAcentral is "partial small subunit ribosomal RNA". The record is from RNAcentral. Lineage: Eukaryota; Viridiplantae; Streptophyta; Magnoliopsida; Poales; Poaceae.
GACAGCCUCCAGCCAUCCAAGACUAGAAGUGAUUGUGCGUGCCCUGAUGCGCACAGCCACCAAGCGGAAUUUCCGGGAGCACGUACCAAGCGAAGACUCGAAAGUCAUCGUGCUAACUCUCCGAAGUUUCCGGGAAAUUUGGCCACACCAGGCUGUGUGGCCAUCCGGCGUAUGGGCAUGGAGACGACGAGCAGACGGGGCAGUGUAUAUAUUUGUCACGUAUCGACCUACAUAAACCAACUGAUGAACAAGUAAUUUACACCCUGCUAAGCAGCACCAGUGAGUUCUUAGCCUCGCGCAUGGGCAUGGGGUUGCCGGCGACAAGCCGCUUGCUGGUGUUCCUCUCUUUGCUCAAGCUUUGGAGCAUCGCCGUCGACGGUGCGUCGCCAGCUGCCGGCGCGGUGGCGCGGGAGGCGACGGCGCCUGCGCCGGUGCGGUUCGGCGUGGGGGGCAGGAGCCUGACCUGCAAUUCCGUGGAGGUCCUGGAUGCGUUCUACCUGAAGCAACCAAGCUGCGCCAACUGGGCGGACCUGCGAGCCAAGGAUUCCCGCGGAGAGGCCGUCGCAGCAGCACACGCUGCCGAGGACCUGAUCAAGAAUGCCCAAGUGCAAGCCAUCAUCUGGGGCCUUCAGAACGCUGAACAAUGCAGAUCACAUCCCACACCUGGCCGACCACAACAACAUUCCGGCUCUCUCCUUCUACGGCAGUGAUGCCUUCUGGCAAGAAGAUCCUGUAAACGAUUCCGCGGACCUUACACUUGGAUCAAAUGACAGCAUGAUGUUUCUUCAUCCAAGAACCGAGAAAAUAAACGGCAUGAAACUGGAUACAAGAAAUUCAAGACAAGAUCACGAAGGUCAGAUGAUGCUGAAAGAUUUUGCAAAUGUUAUUUAUCCUAUUUUCGAGAAACAAAACGUCAGCACGUACAGUACUGUUGAAGAUAUGGUGACUCGCAAAUGCCGAGGCUCUUCCAGGAUGAUGCUUAGUGGUGAGCACUAUGAUGAGCUUGUAUGCAGCGUGUCUCCGAGGGUGAAUUUGGGAGUGGGCGGUGUGCCAUACGCACAGUCUGGUGCGUCUAUGAUUGUGCUCGUCGAGGAUGAACCAUAUACAAUAAGUGAGUGUUUGACAAAAAACUACCACUUUAAGGGUUUGCGUCCCAUAAAACUAUCACUUUAAAAAAAAGACCGAAAACUACCAAAAUUUUCUAAUUUUGUGACUAAAAACUACCACUUUCAGAUAAUGACCAGUUUAAACGAUUUAAACGUGUUGACCGUUCAGUUGACCGUUAUUACAGGUGGGACCCACACAUCAUUCUUCUUCCUUCUCUCUCUAUCUUUCUUUGGCAUUUUCACAAACAGCUUCUGUGCAUCCCGGCUCCCAGGCGGUCGUCGCCGGAGGCGAGAGGGAGGCCGGAGCCGUGGUGCUGCUGCCACCGGGCUCAGCAGGGAGGGCCCGGCGUCGCGCCCACGCGCAGCAGCUGAACCUGCUGCCCUCCACCGGGCUCAGCAGGGAGGGCCCGGCGUCGCGCCCCCGCGCAGCCGCUUCCUCGCACCGCCGCCUCCCGCAGCGCCGCGCGCCUCGUCCGGACCGGCCGCAAGAUUGCCAGGCGCCUCGCAGCCGCCUGCCUCCACGCCUUACUCCUGCUAGUCGGCUCCACGCGGGAGGCUCUGCUGCCGGGAGGCGUUGUGUACUUCGUCGGGGCUGCGCACGUCGGCGCGGUGUGGCGCGUCGCCUUCGUGAUGAUGGUGCUGGAGGACGCCUGGGGCUUCGACGCAUACCUCUGCGAGCCCUCCGCGCGGUCGCUGGUCUCUCACAUCUGGCCGACGCUGCUGCUACUCUCCCGCAUCUGGACGGUGACGCGGCCUGCUGCUCGUGCAGCGUGACGGAGACGGUGGUGGUGACCGGAUCCACGCCGGUGGCGUGCGGGGACGAUGGUGCCUACCGGAUCUGUGGCUUGAUGCACCGGGGCACGAGGAGGAGGUCCUCAGCGAGCGGCGUACGGGCCGCGAAAGACGAUCUCGCGGAGGCGGGCCGCGAGGCCGGGCCACCGACGCGAGAUGAGGCCGGUGCGCGCGGCGGCCCGGGCGCAGCGGAGGCGGGCGAGGACGAGGAGGAGCAGGUCGUCGGGGAGGGCUCUGAUGCGGUCCGGUCGUCGCAGCCUGGUGGAACGCCGGCGAAACUCCAUUGACGCCCCAGAUCUCCGGGAUAGGCGAGGCGACCGGCUACCGCUCUCCUGUGAAGUUGACUUUGACGCCACGUCAGCGCUGACAGAUGGGCCCCACCUGUCAUAAAGACGUUUAAAUCGUCUAAACUAGUCAUUAUCUGAAAGUGGUAGUUUUUAGUCACAAAAUUAGAAAAUUUUGGUAGUUUUCAGUCAUUUUUUUUAAGUGGUAGUUCUGUGGGACGCAAACCCCUAAAGUGGUAUUUUUUGUCAAUCACUCACAAUCAGCUGGACAUUUGUAAAGCCACUAUGUAGGAAUCUUUGGUUUGCAACCAUUAUCUUCUUCUUCUAUACUGGCAUUGUUGUGUGGAUGAUUGAACUACCCAGAAAUCCAGAGUACCAAGGAUCAAGUUUGAGACAAUGUAGCGCUGCCCUCUACUUUGUUUUCUCUACUUUGCCCUUUUCUCAUGGUCAAAUUAUUAGAAGCCCCUUGUCAAAAAUUGUCGUGGUAAUAUGGUGCUUUGUAGUGCUGAUUCUGGUACAGAGCUACACAUCAAGCUUGUCAUCCAUAUUAACCACAGAGAGGCUCCGUCCUUGGGUGAUUGAUCUAGACCAGCUCCAAGGCAGUGGGGAUUUUUUAGGAUACCAAGAUGAUUCAUGUGUGCGGUCCUUCUUGAUGAAUUAUCAAAAUAUCAGUGAAAGUAGGUUAAAAACCUACACAACGAAGGAAGAAUAUGCUGCCGCUUUGAGGAAGGGGUCCAAGAAUGGAGGGGUGUCGGCUAUCGUCAGUGCGAUCCCCUGUUUAACAUCUUUCCUCUCCGAUAGUCGGUACAGAGAUGAUUUUAUGAUGCUUGGCUGCAUAUACACGUCUCCUAGAUUUGGUUUUACAUUUCGUCUAGGUUUUCCGCUAGUGCAAAACCAUUCAACUACCAUCCUGAACCUACCAGAAGGGGUUAGCGACUCACAACGAAAAGUGAGAUGUUUUGGCACCACUUCAGUGCUGAUGGGUGAUGACACAGUUCCUGACUUUGGUUUUGUACCUCUCACCUUACAAAACUUCUCGGGGCUCUUCGUCGUCACUGGAUCCAUUUCAACUAUCAUGAUACUGAUAGCCAUUGUGAGGUUGGUUUAUGCCAAAUGCACCAGGUCGAGAAACACCGACAUGGAAAGCGCCAAGGAUAAUAGUGUCGAAGAGGAUCCCCGUUCGAUGCAAAACGGCUUGGACGACAACCCUAGCCCUAGCCAACAACUCCUCCACGAAGCCGGAGAAGAUAAUUUCCAAGGUGUGCGUGAGGGUAGCCAAAAUGAUGGGGGUGCGCAGCCUGACCCAGUGCAGCAGAAUGUCAUGCACGGUGGCAUCACCCUGCAGGACACUUACAGAUUGAAACUAACAAUGUCUGAGUCAAGAAAUGCCCAAGAUGAAGGGAAGCAUCAGAUGCGAGGAAUGCAAGAGAAGUACGCCAAACCUUGGAAGUACUUCUCUCGUCAUUGAAGUGAUGUUGCGUUCUAAACCUUGGAUCAAUUAGAAUUAGCUUCCUUUUCUCCUUCCCACGCUUUUCAAGAGAGAAAUUGAUGUUCAACGAGUGAUGUGUAUAUUGUCUAUUCAGACUGAUAUUGCUUCCUCCUCACGCAUUUGAAGCAACCGAGAUACUAGAAUUCUCUGAUUCCAUUUGCAAAAAGUAAAUCAUUUAGACAUAGGCAUAGUCUCCACAUAUAAGCUUCAUUCUUAC